Molecule: ribosomal RNA, 255 nt
Filed under: uncultured prokaryote
Description: partial 16S ribosomal RNA
Rfam family: Bacterial small subunit ribosomal RNA
Source: RNAcentral
AUACGAAGGGGGCUAGCGUUGCUCGGAAUCACUGGGCGUAAAGGGCGCGUAGGCGGCCAUUCAAGUCGGGGGUGAAAGCCUGUGGCUCAACCACAGAAUUGCCUUCGAUACUGUUUGGCUUGAGUUUGGUAGAGGUUGGUGGAACCGCGAGUGUAGAGGUGAAAUUCGUAGAUAUUCGCAAGAACACCAGUGGCGAAGGCGGCCAACUGGACCAACACUGACGCUGAGGCGCGAAAGCGUGGGGAGCAAACAGGA